RNAcentral lists this ribosomal RNA (425 nucleotides) under uncultured bacterium. Its description in RNAcentral is "partial 16S ribosomal RNA". It matches the Rfam family "Bacterial small subunit ribosomal RNA", at positions 354 to 796 of the family's 1533-position model. The record is from RNAcentral.
GUGGGGAAUCUUGCGCAAUGGGCGAAAGCCUGACGCAGCCAUGCCGCGUGAAUGAUGAAGGUCUUAGGAUUGUAAAAUUCUUUCACCGGGGACGAUAAUGACGGUACCCGGAGAAGAAGCUCCGGCUAACUUCGUGCCAGCAGCCGCGGUAAUACGAAGGGGGCUAGCGUUGCUCGGAAUUACUGGGCGUAAAGGGCGCGUAGGCGGACAGCUUAGUCAGAGGUGAAAGCCCAGGGCUCAACCUUGGAAUUGCCUUUGAUACUGGCUGUCUUGAGUUUGGGAGAGGUGAGUGGAACUCCGAGUGUAGAGGUGAAAUUCGUAGAUAUUCGGAAGAACACCAGUGGCGAAGGCGACUCACUGGCCCAAUACUGACGCUGAGGUGCGAAAGCGUGGGGAGCAAACAGGAUUAGAAACCCUAGUAGUCC